This 832-nucleotide ribosomal RNA is filed under the name uncultured bacterium. RNAcentral's name for it is "bacterial SSU rRNA". It matches the Rfam family "Bacterial small subunit ribosomal RNA", at positions 86 to 942 of the family's 1533-position model. The record is from RNAcentral.
UUUAGGCCCACGGCGAACGGGUGAGUACAAUCUAGGAACGUCCUUUAAGUCGAGCAUAACCCACCGAAAGGUGGAGUAAUUCUCGAUGUGGCAGCAAUGCUAAAGUCGUAAGACGCUUAAAGUGCGGCCUGGACACCAUCAGCUAGUUGGUAAGGUAAUGGCUUACCAAGGCUAUGACGGUUAGGGGUCCCGAGAGGGAUAACCCCCACACUGGAACUGCGACACGGUCCAGACUCCUACGGGAGGCAGCAGUUUGGAAUUUUGGACAAUGGGCGAAAGCCUGAUCCAGCGACGCCGCGUGGACGAUGACGGCCUUCGGGUUGUAAAGUCCUUUUAGCAGGGAACAAUAUUUUGAGCGUACCUGCAGAAUAAGAGGUUGCUAACUCUGUGCCAGCAGCAGCGGUAAUACAGAGACCUCAAGCGUUAUCCGGAAUCAUUGGGCGUAAAGCGUACCGAUAGGUGGUUUUACAAGUCAGAAGUGAAAUCUCCGAGCUCAACUCGGAAUCUGUCUUUUGAAACUGUAAAACUAGAGGGGCAAAGAGGAAGCUGGAACGAACGGUGUAGUAGUAAAAUGCGUUGAUAUCGUUCGGAACACCAAUAGCGAAGGCAGGCUUCUGGGUGCCACCUGACACUGCUAGGACGAAAGCGUGGGUAGCGAAUGGGAUUAGAUACCCCAGUAGUCCACGCUGUAAACGAUGCACAUUAGGUGCUAGAGAGUAUCGACCCUCUUUAGUGCCAAAGCUAACGCGUUAAAUGUGCCGCCUGGGGAGUACGGCCGCAAGGCUAAAACUCAAAGGAAUUGACGGGGACCCGCACAAGUGGUGGAGCAUGU